UUCUGAACUCCUUGUACUUCUGUACCCUGAUUGCAGCGUGAGAAGCAUGAUGUCGACUCUUUGCUUAAGCUGUCGAACUGAUUUGUCAUGUGUUUACGAAGAUUUCACUGUGAUUUAACGCUCUGCACUGUCAGCUCGCCUUGGUACGCCACGGCAGUCCAGGCUGGUGUGGCCCUUGGGAAGACAGGACAGGGCUAACCUCUGACCUCUGACCCCCUCAGAGCGUCAGGCCAUGGGAAAAUGCAUUUCUGUUCAACACAGCCUGGACCCAGGAAGGGAAGACAAGGCAGCAGGGUCCUAUAACCCUGUGUAUUUUACUCCACUUGCACACUGAAAUCUGAUGUGAUACUGGAGCCUGACAGCCGAGAAGCUCAAUUGCUGAACUUGCAAAGAAAACACUUAUUACUUUACUGCAUUUCGUUGGCAGGUGCGUGGGUUGAGAAACAACUGAAAAAGCAUCCUUUCGGUUGCAUGUUUUGGUUUCUAUUAAACCAUUAGUUUUAAAAUAAGCACGGCAUGGCUUACUUAAAAAAAUGAAACGAUAUUUCAUAUUU
Molecule: non-coding RNA, 554 nt
Organism: Lepisosteus oculatus (spotted gar)
Lineage: Eukaryota; Metazoa; Chordata; Actinopteri; Semionotiformes; Lepisosteidae
Source: RefSeq, a predicted model, not a curated record